UACGAAGGGGGCUAGCGUUGUUCGGAUUUACUGGGCGUAAAGGGCGCGUAGGCGGCAAUUCAAGUCACUUGUGAAAUCUCCGAGCUUAACUCGGAACGGUCAAGUGAUACUGUCGGACUAGAGUACAGAAGGGGCAACUGGAAUUCUCGGGUGUAGCGGUGAAAUGCGUAGAUAUCGAGAGGAACACCUGCGGCGAAGGCGGGUUGCUGGGCUGAUACUGACGCUGAGGCGCGAAAGCCAGGGGAGCGAACGGG
RNAcentral lists this ribosomal RNA (254 nucleotides) under uncultured bacterium. Its description in RNAcentral is "partial 16S ribosomal RNA". It matches the Rfam family "Bacterial small subunit ribosomal RNA", at positions 524 to 776 of the family's 1533-position model. The record is from RNAcentral.